This is a small nuclear RNA of Parambassis ranga (Indian glassy fish), 173 nucleotides long. Its record names the gene U2. It matches the Rfam family "U2 spliceosomal RNA". From Rfam's summary of the family: U2 is a small nuclear RNA (snRNA) component of the spliceosome (involved in pre-mRNA splicing). Lineage: Eukaryota; Metazoa; Chordata; Actinopteri; Ambassidae. The record is from Ensembl.
GUCGCUUCUCGGCCUUUUGGCUAAGAUCAAGUGUAGUAUCUGUUCUUAUCAGUUUAUAGUGCUAGUCAUUGUAUGACACUGCUUGGCAGCAGCCGUAAAGAAUUUCCCUCUGGGAUUAAUACAGUAUCUAAAAAAUAAAAUAAAAAUAAAGAGUCUGCUAUCACCUAGUCUUU